UGGCGAGAGACCGAUAGCGAACAAGUACCGCGAGGGAAAGAUGAAAAGGACUUUGAAAAGAGAGUCAAAGAGUGCUUGAAAUUGUCGGGAGGGAAGCGGAUGGGGGCCGGCGAUGUGUCUCGGUCGGAUGUGGAACGGUUUGUGCCGGUCCGCCAAUCGACUCGGGACAUCGACCGACGCGGAUUGUGAUGGUGGCCCAAGCCUGGGUUGUUGAAAUGCUCGCGGAGACGUCAUCAUCACGAUUGUGGACGGCAGCGCGCGCUGUUUCGGCGUGCUUCGGCACUUGCGUGCUCCUGGCGUCGGCCUGUGGGCUCCCCAUUCGACCCGUCUUGGAACACGGACCAAGGAGUCUGACAUGUGUGC
This 363-nucleotide ribosomal RNA is filed under the name uncultured alveolate. RNAcentral's name for it is "partial Eukaryotic large subunit ribosomal RNA". It matches the Rfam family "Eukaryotic large subunit ribosomal RNA", at positions 324 to 687 of the family's 3401-position model. The record is from RNAcentral.